This 462-nucleotide ribosomal RNA is filed under the name uncultured bacterium. Its description in RNAcentral is "bacterial SSU rRNA". It matches the Rfam family "Bacterial small subunit ribosomal RNA", at positions 917 to 1382 of the family's 1533-position model. The record is from RNAcentral.
GGGCCCGCACAAGCAGCGGAGCAUGUGGUUUAAUUCGAAGCAACGCGAAGAACCUUACCUGGACUUGACAUCCCUUGCAUAGCCUAGAGAUAGGUGAAGCCCUUCGGGGCAAGGAGACAGGUGGUGCAUGGUUGUCGUCAGCUCGUGUCGUGAGAUGUUAGGUUAAGUCCUGCAACGAGCGCAACCCUUGUUAUUAGUUGCUACCAUUAAGUUGAGCACUCUAAUGAGACUGCCUGGGUAACCAGGAGGAAGGUGGGGAUGACGUCAAAUCAUCAUGCCCCUUAUGUCCAGGGCUACACACGUGCUACAAUGGUAGGUACAAUAAGACGCAAGACCGUGAGGUGGAGCAAAACUUAUAAAACCUAUCUCAGUUCGGAUUGUAGGCUGCAACUCGCCUACAUGAAGCUGGAGUUGCUAGUAAUCGCGAAUCAGAAUGUCGCGGUGAAUACGUUCCCGGGCCUU